CUGGCCAGGUGUGUCCCUCGCAGCCCAAGGUGGUGUGGCUGAAGAACCAGGUGGCCAUCGGGGAGGACCCCAAAUUCCUGGCCAGGCACAGCCAGGGGGUCCUGACGCUGCUGAUCCGCAAGCCGGGACCCUUCGACGGCGGCACCUACACCUGCAGGGCUGUCAACGAGCUGGGCGAGGCCCUGACCGAGUGUCGGCUCGAGAUUCGGGUGCCUCAGUGAUGGUGACAAAAAAAUGCCCAGCACCAUCGUGCACGGCCGGGAGAAGGA
Lonchura striata (white-rumped munia) is the source of this 269-nucleotide non-coding RNA. The record is from RefSeq and is a predicted model, not a curated record. Lineage: Eukaryota; Metazoa; Chordata; Aves; Passeriformes; Estrildidae.